RNAcentral lists this ribosomal RNA (201 nucleotides) under uncultured bacterium. RNAcentral describes it as "partial 16S ribosomal RNA". It matches the Rfam family "Bacterial small subunit ribosomal RNA", at positions 326 to 539 of the family's 1533-position model. The record is from RNAcentral.
ACGCUCGACACCUACGGGAUGCAGCAGUCGGGAAUAUUGCGCAAUGGAGGAAACUCUGACGCAGUGACGCCGCGUGCAGGAAGAAGGUUUUCGGAUUGUAAACUGCUUUAGACAGGGAAGAAAGAAAUGACAGUACCUGUAGAAUAAGCUCCGGCUAACUACGUGCCAGUAGCCGCGGUAAUCUGAGCGGGCUGGCAAGGC